Molecule: ribosomal RNA, 492 nt
Filed under: uncultured bacterium
Lineage: Bacteria
Description: partial 16S ribosomal RNA
Rfam family: Bacterial small subunit ribosomal RNA
Source: RNAcentral
AGUGAACGCUGGCGGUAGGCCUAACACAUGCAAGUCGAACGGCAGCACAGUAAGAGCUUGCUCUUACGGGUGGCGAGUGGCGGACGGGUGAGGAAUACAUCGGAAUCUACUUUUUCGUGGGGGAUAACGUAGGGAAACUUACGCUAAUACCGCAUACGACCUACGGGUGAAAGCAGGGGAUCUUCGGACCUUGCGCGAUUGAAUGAGCCGAUGUCGGAUUAGCUAGUUGGCGGGGUAAAGGCCCACCAAGGCGACGAUCCGUAGCUGGUCUGAGAGGAUGAUCAGUCACACUGGAACUGAGACACGGUCCAGACUCCUACGGGAGGCAGCAGUGGGGAAUAUUGGACAAAGGGCGCAAGCCUGAUCCAGCCAUACCGCGUGGGUGAAGAAGGCCUUCGGGUUGUAAAGCCCUUUUGUUGGGAAAGAAAAGCAGCAGGUUAAUACCCCGCUGUUCUGACGGUACCCAAAGAAUAAGCACCGGCUAACUUCGUG